GUUGAGUCUGAUGAGGAACUUUCUAUAGUAACUGGAGCCCAAUUGCAAGUUGAGAAUUGUGGAUUUAAAAAUAUUCUCUUCUUACGAUUGCGAUUCUCGACUGUGUCGGGAGCUGCGGCUGUAAAGCAUCCAGAAUGGGAUGGAUCACCUGGGUUGGCACCUAAAUCUGGCCUCAUAUCAACAUUAAUCAGCCAUCGGUUCACAUCAGUGCAGAAGCCACCUCCAAGACCAGCUGAUGUGAAUAUAAAUUCAGCUGUGUACCCUGGGGGCCCCCCAGUGCCCGUUCAAGUCCCCAAGCUUCUUAAGUUUGUUGACACAACAGAGAUGACGAGAGGGCCCCAGGAAACUCCUGGCUAUUGGGUUGUUUCUGGGGCUAGACUAGUUGUUGAGAAAGGUAGGAUUUCUCUCCGGGUUAAGUAUUCCUUGUUGACUGCAGUAUUACCUGAUGAAGAUUUGGAACCAGAAAACUAGCAGAAUUCAUCAUCCCAACUCCACCCAAUUGAACAAAGGUGAAAAGUACAGAAGUUGCAAAGUGGGAAGAACGGCAAAAGUUAUUGGCACUAAGGUUGCAAAUGCAGGAAGGUGCAAAAUGGAAAUAAUGAUUGAUUGGGAAGCAGUUGGCAAAUUGUUGUUGUAAUUUGUUCUGAUCACUGAUUUUUCCCCUGUAAUGUAAUUUUGCUUCCAUUGUAGAUUCCCCAUUUUGGUGCCUUCAAUCUUAUAACAAGGUAUUUUACAUCCUCA
This 741-nucleotide unclassified non-coding RNA is filed under the name Hevea brasiliensis (rubber tree). Lineage: Eukaryota; Viridiplantae; Streptophyta; Magnoliopsida; Malpighiales; Euphorbiaceae. The record is from RNAcentral.